Molecule: long non-coding RNA, 2524 nt
Filed under: Homo sapiens (human)
Lineage: Eukaryota; Metazoa; Chordata; Mammalia; Primates; Hominidae
Description: long non-coding RNA NONHSAT151007.1
Source: RNAcentral
UGGCUGACCUUGUUUGUAGGUGACCUGGGGUGGACGUGGUGUCCCGGAAACCCCGCUUCCUUGCCUGGGGAGAGCAGAACCUCCUGGGCCAGGCAGAGUCUCCUGGAAUCCUGGGGAAAUGCUGGGUAAGAACAGGAGGAGCUUGGAGCAUCUCAUGGAAACAAGUGCCACCUCCCUCCAGAAUGCCGCACUUGCUCCUGUUCCUCGGAGAAAGGAGGAGUUGCUGCAAGCACAUAGGAUGGGAUUUGCCGCGUCUUCCUGAGCUCGGCCUCCCGGGGAAGCGUGCGGCAGGCGGGCGAGCCGACCCCGCUUUCCUUUCUGGGUGAGACCUGUUUCGUGGCCACAAAGGUCCCACUGACUUCCCUGUGUCCAGCUCUGGAAAGGCUCGGGGCCUCUGUGCCAGGAGCAGGGAAGAGGGCCCCUCGCCAGGUGGGUACUUAAAAUCUGAGGCUGAGCUGGAGGGAGAGGGCAGAGCUGGGGUCAGGGAGGGAGCAGGCAGAGCCACGCCGAGGUAGCGGCGGAAAUGCAGGUGCUGGUGGGAACCAAGAGGAUGGGGCCUCCCCAUCUCAGUUUGUGUGAAGCCCAUCCACAGUGGCAGAGAGGACCGCAGCGAGGGGGCCGGGAGGAUGAGCGGGAGGACCGCAGCGAGGGGGCCGGGAGGAUGAGCGGGAGGACCUCAGCGAGGGGGCCGGGAGGAUGAGCGGGGGCCUCCAUUCCACCUUCAAAGACUCUGGGGUGCAGGCGUCCAGCCAGGACCUCUGAGAGGCGCCCAGAACAUGGGGACGGAGGCAGGAGGCUGUGAGGAGAGAGGGGCCUUGGCCACCUCUGCUGUCCCUACUGCAGGCCAGCGUCCGGCCGGCUCCAGGCCUGGACUCCCAGAAUUCAAAGGUGCCCCCGCUCAGGCAGCCCUGCCCCCACCGCCCACUCAGGCCAGGGCCAGAGGGGUGUCAAGAUCACCUGAAAAGGCAGCCCCUGAGGGUGACCAGAGCCCCGAGCCCCAGCGGGGACAAAUGAGGAGCUUAACUAGCACAAGGCCGCAUAAAAGGGAACGGGAGAGGAGGGACAAAGCCUCACCCAUGUGCUCUUUUGGGCUUUGUGCGCACUGGCCCCUUUCCCAGUAUAUCAGGCUCCCAGUGAAUGGAGGCCCGCGCCGCGCAGUCCUUCCGCAGCCCUGACGGUUUCACGAGCCGGUGAAUGGAGUGCAAAUUAGCAGGGUCCCCGGGAGCCUUGUUACUGUCACUCCCAAACUGACGGCCCAAAGACGACGCGAGGAUUAAUCCACCCGGAGAACUCGCCCAUUAUCCAGGCAAGGUAGGAAGCUAUUUAUUGUCCCCUCUUUCAUGUCUCCUCCAUGUUGCCCACUGCAGCGAGCCUUUACAGCAGAAUGGAGCAGCCGCGGAUACACACCCGCUCCCACCCACACACUCACGCCGGGCCCAGGCCGCCAGGCGUGGAUGCACGCGCACGCACACGCAUGCACACGUGCACACGCAUGGACACGCUCGUGCUGCAAGGCCAUGGGCCACCGUGUGCUGUUCCGUGCACAUUUAUUCUCCUCUGAGGACCCAGGCCGGCUUGUCCGUGAAGUGCCAACAUUAGGGGCUGUGCAGGGCAGGGUGAGCGAGCACUGACCACCAGCGCCGGCCCCCACUGCUGCGGCCAGUGGGCUGGACGACCAAGGACGAGGCCGGGGCCUUGAGACAAAAGUCCCAGCAAUGAGGCAGGGACCUCACAGCAGAGGGAGCUGGACCCAACCUGUUUUCAAGACACGAAUCUGCUGCAGCCCCCGACGGGCCCCAAGAGACUCUGCCUUGAGUCUUUUCUUAGGAGUCCACCCACGGCCGCAUCUCCAGCUAGAUCAAGCCCACGGCUUUUCACACUGCUGGACCAGACACCACGAGAGAUGUUCGGUCAACACUGUGCAUAUCUCAACUUUCAGGUGGACACUGCUGCCCGGAAAUGACUUUCACUUAUUUUCAAUCGGUCUACUUAGAAAAAGAAAAUCGGCAUUGGCUACGCUGUGACCAAGACAGCUUAGGGAAGAAGGGCAGGGUGGCUGCUGACCGCAGGCUCUCAACAGACCUGUGUACAAUGGGUGGGCAAGCAAGUGUCCAUGAGUGCAGAGACAGACAAGCAGAUGUCUAAUGAAGGAGGAGACAACCAGCAUCGAACAAAUGACCAAGAAAUAGAUGCCUAGUGGGUGAAUUGAUCAGCAAAUGUAUACACGUGUGCAUAAACAAAUCAAUAUCUAAUAUCUAAACUAAUAAAUGUAUGAACAAAUACAUGCCUAAUGAGUGAAUAGACAAAUAUCUCAUGAAUGCGUGGACAAAUCGAUAUCUAAUGAAUGGACAAACAAAUGCAUAUCUAUGAAUGGAUGAACAAAUACAUAUCGAAUAAAUAAAUGAAUAAAUACCUAAUAGAUAUAUGAACAGAUAUAUCUCUAAUGAGUGAAUAAACAAAUAUCUCAUGAAUACGUGGACAAAGCGAUAUCUAACGAAUGAAUGAACAAAUGCAUAUCUAUGAA